GACGAACGCUGGCGGCGUGCUUAACACAUGCAAGUCGAACGGAAAGGCCCUGCUUUUGUGGGGUGCUCGAGUGGCGAACGGGUGAGUAACACGUGGGUGAUCUGCCCUGCACUUCGGGAUAAGCCUGGGAAACUGGGUCUAAUACCGGAUAGGAGCCAUUUUUAGUGUGAUGGUUGGAAAGUUUUUUCGGUGUAGGAUGAGCUCGCGGCCUAUCAGCUUGUUGGUGGGGUAAUGGCCUACCAAGGCGGCGACGGGUAGCCGGCCUGAGAGGGUGGACGGCCACAUUGGGACUGAGAUACGGCCCAGACUCCUACGGGAGGCAGCAGUGGGGAAUAUUGCACAAUGGGCGCAAGCCUGAUGCAGCGACGCCGCGUGGGGGAUGACGGCCUUCGGGUUGUAAACUCCUUUCGCUAGGGACGAAGCUUUUUGUGACGGUACCUAGAGAAGAAGCACCGGCUAACUACGUG
Molecule: ribosomal RNA, 467 nt
Filed under: uncultured bacterium
Lineage: Bacteria
Description: partial 16S ribosomal RNA
Rfam family: Bacterial small subunit ribosomal RNA
Source: RNAcentral